This 491-nucleotide ribosomal RNA is filed under the name uncultured bacterium. RNAcentral's name for it is "bacterial SSU rRNA". It matches the Rfam family "Bacterial small subunit ribosomal RNA", at positions 15 to 518 of the family's 1533-position model. The record is from RNAcentral.
GAUCAUGGCUCAGAACGAACGCUGGUGGCGUGUCUUAUACAUGCAAGUCGAGCGAGGCAGCAAUGCCGAGCGGCGAACGGGUGAGUAACGCGUAAGCAAUCUGCCCCAUAUCAGGAAAUACCCGUGCCAACGCGCGGUUAAUGUCCAGGAGAGUGGCCCUCUGCAUGGAGGGUUGACUAGAGAUUUAUCGGUAUGGGAUGAGCUUGCGUCCGAUUAGCUAGUUGGCGGAGCAACGGCCCACCAAGGCGACGAUCGGUAGCCGGCCUGAGAGGGUGGUCGGCCACAUUGGGACUGAGAUACGGCCCAGACUCCUACGGGAGGCAGCAGUAGGGAAUAUUGCACAAUGGGGGAAACCCUGAUGCAGCAACGCCACGUGUGGGAAGAAGCAUUUCGGUGUGUAAACCACUGUCAUGAGGGAAUAAGGCCCGCCUUCGGACGGGAUUGAAUGUACCUUGAGAGGAAGCACCGGCAAACUUCGUGCCAGCCGCCGC